Molecule: long non-coding RNA, 1171 nt
Filed under: Helianthus annuus (common sunflower)
Lineage: Eukaryota; Viridiplantae; Streptophyta; Magnoliopsida; Asterales; Asteraceae
Description: hypothetical non coding rna
Source: RNAcentral
AACCAGCUUAGAAUCUUGAAUAUUUUUAAUUAUGCAACUCUUCAACCAGCUUAGAAUUUUUCUGCCCUUUGAUUAAUUUGAGGAAAGAUAAUUAAUUCCAGUUAAUACAAUGUUGACAUAUAAAGCAGAGAAAAAAGAAAAGGGGUCCACCAAAUAUAACCGAGCUCGACUCAUUCGUAAAGUACUUUGCUUCUGGACCUCCAUCGACCGAACCAACUUGGCUUUCAAGAUCACCACCAAAAAGGAGUCUACAGAGUCAAAUCCCUCAGAUUUUUGUCCAACCGUGCUAUCACCUACAAGAAAGUCAAGAAGAGUGAGGCCUCACCCUAAACAGGUAUGAUAAUUUAUUUCAACAAGAGAAGUUUGAUGACAUACGACGUACCUCGAUCGAGAUGAUAUGUAAAUAGCCAAUGUGUCAAAAGAAUGUUGCAAGCUCAUCAGGUUCCACAGUCGUUAUAUACAUCCGAUGAUAGUGUCAAAGGGCGUUAAAGUUUUUCAAAUUAAUACAUUAUAAAUGUACCAAUGAGGUGGUGGUCCAUUGUCAAAGGCAAAGCCUUUAAACACCUUGGGAGGUGGAGGUCUUCGGUUCAAGUCCCACAGAUGAUAGGGAAUAAACGAAAUUUGUCGUUCAAAAAAAUACAUUAUAAAUGCAUAUAAUUAUGAUAUAUAAUGAUUUUUAAUUCAUUUUCCGUACUCCAGUGUUUAUGAACUAUGUAUGGGACUGGGCACGAAAUGUAAAGCAUCCACGCGAUCAAUCUGUUACCACAGUCCACGUAGAAUUGGUAUAAUCCUAGACAAGGAAUCAUUAUUAACAACCCAGAAGGUGUUGAUGUGUAUCAUGGAGUCCCAAAGGUUUGUGUUUCAUUCAUGAACAUUUACUUUAGCCAACUUAAACUCAUGACUUUUUAAAUCUAACACACUAUGUUCUCUGAUCUGCCACAAGUCACUUAAAGAUGAUGACAUUGGGAUGAUGUGAAUGUCGACAACUUUAUUGUUGUUUUGCUCAGAUAAAGAAGUCAAGAGUUUCUUAGAAUUCAUCAGCUACAUAAAGGAAAAAUCAAGAUUUUAUUAGAAUUCAUCAGCUACACCUAUGAUGUAUUUGGUUUCACUGUUGAACUAAAGCUAUCAACAGUGUGUUUUAUUAUUCUAUAUUCACACCUAGCAUUCAACU